CCCUUAGAUGUUCUGGGCAGCACGCGCGCUACAAUGGUCUUUGCAAACGGAUGCAUUCUCGAAGGAGAAUGCCAAUCUUGGAAUCUAUGCCUUGGUCGGGACAGUUGCUUGCAAUUUUUCGACUCGAACCAGGAAUUCCUUGUAAUCGUGAUUCAUCACAUCACGAUGAAUACGUCCCUGCCCUUUGUACACACCGCCCGUCGCUCCUACCGAUCGAAGAGUUAGGUGAAUUGUUUUGAUCGAUAAGAUUUGACUAUGGUCAACUCUCGUUGUGAAAUUCUGUGAAUCUGACUGUUUAGAGGAAGGAAAAGUCGUAACA
Molecule: ribosomal RNA, 319 nt
Filed under: uncultured eukaryote
Lineage: Eukaryota
Description: partial 18S ribosomal RNA
Rfam family: Eukaryotic small subunit ribosomal RNA
Source: RNAcentral